UACGUAGGGCGCAAGCGUUCUCCGGAAUUAUUGGGCGUAAAGAGCUCGUAGGCGGUUUGUCGCGUCUGCCGUGAAAGUCCGGGGCUUAACCCCGGAUCUGCGGUGGGUACGGGCAGACUAGAGUGCAGUAGGGGAGACUGGAAUUCCUGGUGUAGCGGUGAAAUGCGCAGAUAUCAGGAGGAACACCGAUGGCGAAGGCAGGUCUCUGGGCUGUAACUGACGCUGAGGAGCGAAAGCAUGGGGAGCGAACAGG
This 253-nucleotide ribosomal RNA is filed under the name uncultured bacterium. RNAcentral describes it as "partial 16S ribosomal RNA". It matches the Rfam family "Bacterial small subunit ribosomal RNA", at positions 524 to 776 of the family's 1533-position model. The record is from RNAcentral.